GAUUUGGGUUUUAUGAUUUAGGAUUUAGUGUUUUAGUGUUUAGUGUUUUUGAUUUACGAUUUAGAAUUUAUCUAAGAGUUUAGGGUUUACCCAAAAAUUUAGGGUUUAUAGUUUACUCAAAGAUUUAUAGUUUAGGAUUUGGGUUUAGUGUUUUGCUAACGAUGUUAAAAAAUAUUUUUUCAAAAAAUUCUUUUUUUGUAAUUACUAUUAUUUUUAUUAUUUGUUUUAUUUUUUUAUUUAAAAACAUAAUAUAAAUUGAUAAUAUUUUAUUUUCUUUUCUGAAAAAUAUUG
Molecule: long non-coding RNA, 291 nt
Filed under: Brassica napus (rape)
Lineage: Eukaryota; Viridiplantae; Streptophyta; Magnoliopsida; Brassicales; Brassicaceae
Description: long non-coding RNA (BNAP_LNC008893)
Source: RNAcentral